This is a long non-coding RNA of Beta vulgaris subsp. vulgaris (sugar beet), 1156 nucleotides long. RefSeq lists it as uncharacterized. The transcript has 2 exons. The record is from RefSeq and is a predicted model, not a curated record. NCBI's taxonomy places the organism in Eukaryota, Viridiplantae, Streptophyta, Magnoliopsida, Caryophyllales, Amaranthaceae.
UCCGGGUCACAUAAAAGCUUGAGUUGAGGGGUGUGCACACUAUAGGUUAUUGGCCAUUGAUAUUAUUGGUAAACCGGCCGGGGCUCCCGGGUUUACAUUAUUAUAGACCGGCCGGGACUCCCGGGUCUAUCAUUUGCUAUUUAGUGGGUCGGCGGGGCUCCCGGAUCCACUCUGACUUUGUCUUUGGAUUAUUUGAUAACUCUUGUUUGAUGAAAUGAUCUUUGAACUUGAUAAUAAUUGAUAUUUAUUCCACGUCUCGUAUUUGAUUAUCAAAGAUGAAUUACUCGUGAUUAUGGACUCGAUGAAUCCAUUAUUAAUAUAUUAGGAUACUCAAACGUCGUGAACAUGCUACUCGAUUACAUUGUGAUUUCGGUGAUGAAACUUAUUGGUAACUCUAUUUGACUAUAUUCUUGUCUACAUGAUUUAUAUGAUUAUUUUACUUAUCAUGACUAUGUAAUUUGUUUUGGAACUUGAUGAUUAUGAGCAUUGAAUAUAAUUAAUGUAGCUUCGAAAUACGAAAUCCUUUGGCUUUGAAUGGAUAUAGAUUGACAUAGAAAGUUUAUAAAAGGGAAACUUUAAAUAAGAAUAUAAUGAGAAUUUGAGUAGUACUUUUAUCUUUUGAAGUAUAUAUCUUGAUGUUUUCUGGUUUUGCUUAAGGUGGAGUGUUGGUACUCAGCUUUUGCUGACGUGUGUUAUGUUUGUGUUUUGUUUGUGUUGUUCUUUCCCGUGUGGGGUUGAACCUGUAAUGAUCCAUAUACUUUGUAUAAUGGUGAGCAGUUGAUACUAGAGCAGGUUUCUUGUUGGAUUCGCGAAGUUUAAGGUGAGGACGGAAAUUCAUAGAGGAACUUUAUAUUCGAAGACUUCCAAAUGUAAAUUGUACUUGGGUUUAAAUAUGUAUUAGUUAUAUUAGUCUUGUUGAGGUUUUGAUUGAAGAUUUCUUUGAUUAGUUUGUAAUACUGAUUAGUGCCAUUGGGUUUGAUUCCCUCUUGAGGUUGUUUUCGCGAAAGCGUUAACGGUUUUAGGUUUUGAUUGAAGAUUUCUUUGAUUAGUUUGUAAUACUGAUUAGUGUCAUUGGGUUUGAUUCCCUCUUGAGGUUGUUUCCGCGAAAGCGUUGACGGUUUUAGGUUUUGAGAUGAAGAAUAUUAUAUUUUGUUGA